This 1018-nucleotide long non-coding RNA is filed under the name Pan troglodytes (chimpanzee). RNAcentral describes it as "long non-coding RNA NONPTRT015182". The record is from RNAcentral. Lineage: Eukaryota; Metazoa; Chordata; Mammalia; Primates; Hominidae.
GGCCAGGCUGGUCUCGAGCUCCUGACGUCAAGUGAUUUGCCUGCUUCGGCGUCCCAAAAUCCUGGGAUUACAGGCCUGAGCCACCAUGCCUGGCCUGUCCUCAUUUGUUUAUCCAUCUCAUUUUUUGUCCUUCUCACCAAAGAUAUGUUGCUUUGUCUUGUGGGGUUUUUUUCAUGUGGAUUCCUGAACCCCAUCCAGCCCCUUGUCCCCUCCUCAGCCAGCUCACACUCUUUUGCACAGCUCCUGGGACUCCUGUUGACACACAGGGAACAGCCACCCACAGUGGACUGCACUGUUCUGUUUGCACCCUUAAAUUUAUCGUGCUUACAGAAUGACACUUCUGCAAACUAGUCAAGUAGGGGGAGGUGGUUUGUGGAUAUGCACCCUUGUUCAUUCUCUUUGAAAAGGUAACCAGCUCUGAAUUCUUUCUCCUUUGAGGAGGAGUUUCACUUGUCGCCCAGGCUGGAGUGUAGUGGUGCAAUCUUGACUCACUGCUACCUCCGCCUCCCAGGUUCAAGCAAUUCUCCUGCAUCAGCCUCCCAAGUAGCUUGGAUUACAGGCAUGCACCACCAUGCUCACCUAAUUUUUUUUUUUUUUUUUUUAGUAGAGAUGAGGUUUCACCAUGUUGUUCAGGCUGGUCUUGAACUUUUGACCUCAAGCGAUCCACCUGCCUUGGCCUCCCAAAGUGCUGGAAUUACAGGCAUGAGCCACCAUGCCCAGCCCCAGUUCUGAAUUCUUAAGAAACUCGAGAGAGUCUAGGAUCCACCUCUGAUGUUCAGUGAAGAGUACCGGAAAAGUCUGCUAGAGCAGUACCAUCUGGGUCUGGAUCAAAAACGCAGAAAAUACGUGGUUGGAGAGCUCAUCUGGAAUUUUGCGGAUUUCAUGACUAACCAGUCCAAGGAGGAAGGAAAAACUGGACCUCAUUAUGGAUUUACUUUUGGGAUACACUCAUUAUUCCAGAGGAGGGUAAAAGGCUGAGAAGCUUAAGCUUGGUCCUAAAUGUGAGACAAUUGUGAAA